CAAUAGCGUAUAUUAAAGUUGUUGCAGUUAAAAAGCUCGUAGUUGGAUUUCUGUGAGAGUGCCGGUGUCGGCUGAUGCUUGUACGCAGGCGCUCUUACAUCCUUCUGUUAACUGUUCUUGGCAUUUUAUUGCUGGUUCAGGGCUCAGAUAUUUUACCUUGAGAAAAUUAGAGUGUUUCAGGCGGGCUUAUGCCGGAAUACAUUAGCAUGGAAUAAUGGAACAGGACCUGUGCGUCUCUCGGGGCGCCGGUCUCCGUUAUUGGUUUCGGGGACUAAUGUAAUGAUUAAUAGGGAUAGUUGGGGGCAUUAGUAUUUAAUAGUCAGAGGUGAAAUUCUCGGAUUUGUUAAAGACUAACUUAUGCGAAAGCAUUUGCCAAGGAUGUUUUCAUUAA
Molecule: ribosomal RNA, 391 nt
Filed under: uncultured eukaryote
Lineage: Eukaryota
Description: partial 18S ribosomal RNA
Rfam family: Eukaryotic small subunit ribosomal RNA
Source: RNAcentral